GACCACCCUGCGGGGUCAAGGCCAUACGGACAGCCGGGUCGAAUGCCGA
Molecule: small RNA, 49 nt
Filed under: chicken gut metagenome
Description: Streptococcus sRNA SpF59 (ldcC RNA)
Rfam family: Streptococcus sRNA SpF59 (ldcC RNA)
Source: RNAcentral